GUCAGUGUCUUUAACCGCAAGGGUCCACCCGUUCCCAUUCCGAACACGGAAGUUAAGCUUGUGUGCGCUGAAAAUUCUCGGCUGGAGACGGCCCGGGAAGAUAAGUCGACGCUGACA
This 117-nucleotide ribosomal RNA is filed under the name Clostridia bacterium. Lineage: Bacteria; Bacillati; Bacillota; Clostridia. The record is from RNAcentral.